Molecule: ribosomal RNA, 1064 nt
Filed under: uncultured bacterium
Lineage: Bacteria
Description: bacterial SSU rRNA
Rfam family: Bacterial small subunit ribosomal RNA
Source: RNAcentral
AGUCGAACGAAAGUUUUUAACUUUAGUGGCGAACGGGUGCGUAAUACGUGAGAAUCUACCCUUAGGAGGAGAAUAACUGCUGGAAACGGCUGCUAAUACUCCAUAUACCGAGAGGUGAAAAAGUUUCGACUGCCUAAGGAUGAGCUCGCGCCUGAUUAGCUUGUUGGUAAGGUAACGGCUUACCAAGGCCACGAUCAGUAGCUGGUUUGAGAGAACGAUCAGCCACACUGGGACUGAGACACGGCCCAGACUCCUCCGGGAGGCAGCAGUGAGGAAUUUUCCGCAAUGGGCGAAAGCCUGACGGAGCAAUACCGCGUGAGGGAUGAAGGAUUUUGGUCUGUAAACCUCUUUUCUCAAGAAAGAAGUUCUGACGGUACUUGAGGAAUAAGCAUCGGCUAACUCCGUGCCAGCAGCCGCGGUAAUACGGGGGAUGCAAGCGUUAUCCGGAAUCAUUGGGCGUAAAGCGCCUGUAGGUGGUUUAAUAAGUCUGUUGUUAAAGACUAGGGCUUAACCCUAGGAAAGCAAUGGAAACUAAUAGACUAGAGUAUGGCAGGGGUAGAGGGAAUUUCUAGUGUAGCGGUGAAAUGCGUAGAUAUUAGAAAGAACACCAGUGGCGAAAGCGCUCUACUGGACCAUUACUGACACUCAGAGGCGAAAGCUAGGGUAGCAAAAGGGAUUAGAUACCCCUGUAGUCCUAGCCGUAAACGAUGGAUACUAGAUGUUGUGUUUUCUCACAGUGUCGCAGCUAACGCGUUAAGUAUCCCGCCUGGGGAGUACGCUCGCAAGGGUGAAACUCAAAGGAAUUGACGGGGGCCCGCACAAGCGGUGGAGCAUGUGGUUUAAUUCGAUGCAACGCGAAGAACCUUACCAGGGCUUGACAUACUGCAGAUCUUUUUGAGAAAGAAGAGUGCCUUCGGGAAUGCAGAUACAGGUGGUGCAUGGCUGUCGUCAGCUCGUGUCGUGAGAUGUUGGGUUAAGUCCCGCAACGAGCGCAACCCUUAUUUUUAGUUACCAACUUGUUGGGUUCUCUAGAAAGACUGCCGGUGACAAACCGGAGGAAGGUG